This 72-nucleotide transfer RNA is filed under the name Sus scrofa (pig). It matches the Rfam family "tRNA". From Rfam's summary of the family: Transfer RNA (tRNA) molecules are approximately 80 nucleotides in length. Lineage: Eukaryota; Metazoa; Chordata; Mammalia; Artiodactyla; Suidae. The record is from Rfam by way of RNAcentral.
UCCCUGGUGGUCUAGUGGAUAGGACUUGGCACUGUUGCUGCUGCUGCCUGGGUUUGACCCCUGGUCUGGGAG